UACAGAGGGUGCAAGCGUUGUUCGGAAUUACUGGGCGUAAAGCGCGCGCAGGCGGGUCUGUAAGUCGGAAGUGAAAUUGCACUGCUCAACGGUGUAGCUGCUUCUGAUACUGCAGAUCUUUGAGACCGGUAGAGGUUGGUAGAAUUGCAGGUGUAGCGGUGGAAUGCGUAGAGAUCUGCAAGAAUACCCGUGGCGAAGGCGGCCAACUGGGCCGGUUCUGACGCUGAGGCGCGAAAGCGUGGGGAGCAAACAGG
This 254-nucleotide ribosomal RNA is filed under the name uncultured bacterium. RNAcentral describes it as "partial 16S ribosomal RNA". It matches the Rfam family "Bacterial small subunit ribosomal RNA", at positions 524 to 776 of the family's 1533-position model. The record is from RNAcentral.